Long non-coding RNA from Oxyura jamaicensis (ruddy duck), 164 nucleotides. RefSeq lists it as uncharacterized. The record is from RefSeq and is a predicted model, not a curated record. The transcript is spliced from 3 exons. Lineage: Eukaryota; Metazoa; Chordata; Aves; Anseriformes; Anatidae.
AAAAAUUUCCCACGUAUUUGGUCUGGAGCACCUCUCCUGUGAAGACAGGCUGAAGGAGUUGGGGUUGUUCAGCCUGGAGAAGAGAAGGCUCCAGGGAUACCAUACAGUGGCUUUCCAGUACCUAAUGGGGGCCUACAGGAAAGCAGGAGAGGGACUCUUUGUCA